This 77-nucleotide transfer RNA is filed under the name Acidiferrobacteraceae bacterium. Its description in RNAcentral is "tRNA-Asn". It matches the Rfam family "tRNA". Rfam says of the family: Transfer RNA (tRNA) molecules are approximately 80 nucleotides in length. Lineage: Bacteria; Pseudomonadati; Pseudomonadota; Gammaproteobacteria; Acidiferrobacterales; Acidiferrobacteraceae. The record is from RNAcentral.
UCCCCGGUAGUUCAGUUGGUAGAACGGUGGACUGUUAAUCCAUAUGUCGCUGGUUCGAGUCCAGCCCCGGGGAGCCA